This 410-nucleotide ribosomal RNA is filed under the name Klebsiella pneumoniae. RNAcentral's name for it is "bacterial LSU rRNA". It matches the Rfam family "Bacterial large subunit ribosomal RNA", at positions 1325 to 1737 of the family's 2925-position model. The record is from RNAcentral. Lineage: Bacteria; Pseudomonadati; Pseudomonadota; Gammaproteobacteria; Enterobacterales; Enterobacteriaceae.
AAAGCCCGCUCGCCGGAAGACCAAGGGUUCCUGUCCAACGUUAAUCGGGGCAGGGUGAGUCGACCCCUAAGGCGAGGCCGAAAGGCGUAGUCGAUGGGAAACAGGUUAAUAUUCCUGUACUUGGUGUUACUGCGAAGGGGGGACGGAGAAGGCUAUGUUAGCCGGGCGACGGUUGUCCCGGUUUAAGCAUGUAGGCUGGUUAUCCAGGCAAAUCCGGAUAAUCAAGGCUGAGGUGUGAUGACGAGGCACUACGGUGCUGAAGUAACAAAUGCCCUGCUUCCAGGAAAAGCCUCUAAGCAUCAGGUAACAUCAAAUCGUACCCCAAACCGACACAGGUGGUCAGGUAGAGAAUACCAAGGCGCUUGAGAGAACUCGGGUGAAGGAACUAGGCAAAAUGGUGCCGUAACUUC